Molecule: ribosomal RNA, 413 nt
Filed under: uncultured bacterium
Lineage: Bacteria
Description: bacterial SSU rRNA
Rfam family: Bacterial small subunit ribosomal RNA
Source: RNAcentral
AGCGAACGCUGGCGGCAGGCCUAAUACAUGCAAGUCGAACGGAUCCUUCGGGAUUAGUGGCGGACGGGUGAGUAACACGUGGGAACGUGCCCUUUGGUUCGGAACAACUCAGGGAAACUUGAGCUAAUACCGGAUGUGCCCUUCGGGGAAGAUUUAUCGCCAUUGGAGCGGCCCGCGUCUGAUUAGCUAGUUGGUGGGGUAAAGGCCUACCAAGGCUACGAUCAGUAGCUGGUCUGAGAGGAUGAUCAGCCACACUGGGACUGAGACACGGCCCAGACUCCUACGGGAGGCAGCAGUAGGGAAUCUUGCGCAAUGGGCGAAAGCCUGACGCAGCCAUGCCGCGUGAAUGAUGAAGGUCUUAGGAUUAGUAAAAUUCUUUCAGCGGGGACGAUAAUGACGGUACCGCAGAAGAA